CAAGGAGAGAGGAAACUGUAGGG
This 23-nucleotide non-coding RNA is filed under the name Cricetulus griseus (Chinese hamster). Lineage: Eukaryota; Metazoa; Chordata; Mammalia; Rodentia; Cricetidae. The record is from RNAcentral.